CCUACGGGAGGCAGCAGUGGGGAAUAUUGGGCAAUGGGCGAAAGCCUGACCCAGCAACGCCGCGUGAAGGAAGAAGGCUUUCGGGUUGUAAACUUCUUUUGACAGGGAAGAGCAGAAGACGGUACCUGUCGAAUAAGCCACGGCUAACUACGUGCCAGCAGCCGCGGUAAUACGGAGGAUGCGAGCGUUAUCCGGAUUUAUUGGGUUUAAAGGGUGCGUAGGCGGAAUAUCAAGUCAGCGGUAAAAAUUCGGGGCUCAACCCCGUCGUGCCGUUGAAACUGAUGUUCUUGAGUGGGCGAGAAGUAUGCGGAAUGCGUGGUGUAGCGGUGAAAUGCAUAGAUAUCACGCAGAACUCCGAUUGCGAAGGCAGCAUACCGGCGCCCAACUGACGCUGAAGCACGAAAGCGUGGGUAUCGAACAGGAUUAGAUACCCUAGUAGUC
This 441-nucleotide ribosomal RNA is filed under the name uncultured bacterium. Its description in RNAcentral is "partial 16S ribosomal RNA". It matches the Rfam family "Bacterial small subunit ribosomal RNA", at positions 338 to 795 of the family's 1533-position model. The record is from RNAcentral.